GGUCACCCAGCCACAGAGGUUCCCUCUGCUCUGCCAUUAUCCAGCAUAGGAAAAUGGCCUUGCCUUUUCAGGAUUCCAUAUAACUGGAAUCGUAGGAAAUGCAGCAUGGUUUCACUCACUAAGCAGGAGACGCCGGGAUUCACCCACUGUUGCAGGGAUUGCGACUCCAUUCCCCUCCCUGUGGAGCAGCAUCUUCUGUCGGGGCCCUCCUGCCCCUUUCUUAGAAGGUCCCUGUGAUGACACUGGGCCACCAAGUAAUCAGGAUGAUCAUACCUUUUGCCAGACCUGUGAUCCAGCCUGAAUUCUAUUCAGAAAGAGAAGGAAAGCCUGAGAGGAUUUCAACUGGGGACCAAAGGAGCCAGAGAAGGUUCUGGAGUGAGAGCAGGAAGAGAUGUCAAGAAGACUUAGGGUCUCGCUGAGUUGGUGAGUUGUCCACUCUGGAUUUGAACUUGAGAUCCUCCUUCCUCAGCCUCCCAGAGUGCUGGGAUCACAGACAGGCAGCAGAUGCAACCAGGGUCACAUCGCCAGAACCCUUUGGUGAGGCAAAGAUGAUUGGAAGCAUUUUCAGAUGAUCGAAGGGGAAGAGGGAC
Molecule: long non-coding RNA, 590 nt
Filed under: Heterocephalus glaber (naked mole-rat)
Lineage: Eukaryota; Metazoa; Chordata; Mammalia; Rodentia; Bathyergidae
Description: lncRNA (ENSHGLG00100035678.1)
Source: RNAcentral